Molecule: non-coding RNA, 488 nt
Organism: Paramuricea clavata
Lineage: Eukaryota; Metazoa; Cnidaria; Anthozoa; Malacalcyonacea; Plexauridae
Source: the annotation of a GenBank genome assembly
CUGUUAUUAUCAUUGUUAUAGACAAAGAAUUUUCCAUUCUACUGAUAAAUAUUCAAUAUAAAUAUAAGAUCUCAGUCAAACAAUAACAGUCAACAGGGACCCCCACACCAAGGGGGCCCCUCUAACUCAUUACACCAUUGGCCCCUGCCUCCCAUUAUUAAUUACCGGUGUUCCCUAAUCAUUCAUAAUAUACAUUUCAUACAAUUUCAUAUUAUUUAAUUAAUAUAUACAUCACUGCAUGGCUUUUCAAGAUACAUCAAUAAAACACUAUAAACAGAAAGUCAGAAACAAGUGCUAAUACUAAAUGGUAGAAAUACACAAUAAUGGAAAAAGGCUUUCAGUCAAUUAUCUGCCAGUAACUCGAGUCAUCUAAUGUCCAUUUCAUGUAUUAUAUAUGCAUAAUCAUUGCAUAGUCUGCUAUAGCACAACAUGUUUCAACUUUUCAUAUUUUCAUACACAUAAUAAUAUGAACAACAUGUUAAAAACAG